UACGGGGGGAGCAAGCGUGGUUCGGAUUUACUGGGCGUAAAGGGCGCGUAGGCGGCGCAACAAGUCACUUGUGAAAUCUCCGGGCUUAACUCGGAAAGGUCAAGUGAUACUGUUGUGCUAGAGUGCGGAAGGGGCAACUGGAAUUCUCGGUGUAGCGGUGAAAUGCGUAGAUAUCGAGAGGAACACCUGCGGCGAAGGCGGGUUGCUGGGCCGACACUGACGCUGAUGCGCGAAAGCCAGGGGAGCAAACGGG
Molecule: ribosomal RNA, 253 nt
Filed under: uncultured bacterium
Lineage: Bacteria
Description: partial 16S ribosomal RNA
Rfam family: Bacterial small subunit ribosomal RNA
Source: RNAcentral